RNAcentral lists this long non-coding RNA (1097 nucleotides) under Chrysemys picta bellii (western painted turtle). RNAcentral describes it as "lncRNA (ENSCPBG00000007431.1)". The record is from RNAcentral. Lineage: Eukaryota; Metazoa; Chordata; Testudines; Emydidae.
GACUUGGGGCUGUCCUCACACAACUUCAUGAGGACAACACAGAGGACUGUUGCAUUUGCUUCAAGGACACUAAGUAAUGCUGAGAGAAAAUAUUCUACAGUUGAAAAAGAAGCACUUGCUUGUGUCUGGGCUACUGAAAAAUGGAGAACUUACCUGUGGGGCCACACGUUCAAGUUGGGCACAGACCACAGCCCUUUGACGAUGUUGCUCACCACGAAAGGACUGAGAAGAGCAGGAUAUUGUAUUGCUAGAUGGUCUGCAAGGCUUCUCUCUUUCAAUUAUGAACUGGAAUAUAAGCCUGGAAAUGAAAAUGUGGUAGCUGAUUGCCUUUCUCGCCUGCCUUUGCCUUCACCAGAUGGUCCACCAGAGGAUAAGGAUGUAGUAGUUGUGCUUAUUACAAGCACUCUUACUGCAGUUACAAGAGAACAAUUUCAAGCUGCUUGUUCAGCGUGUUCAAUUCAACAAAAAUUACAGGAAUUUCUGACAAAGAGAUGGCCCAAUAACCCUAAAAACCUUGACCCAGUUUUGCUGCCUUAUUUUAGAGUUUGGGAUGAACUUUCUUUGCUCGAUGGCUGUGUGCUACAAGGUACACACCGGCUACUUGUGCCAGAAGGAUUACAGUCAAAACUCAUACACCUGGCACACAAUACUCAUCAGGGAAUUGUCAGAACCAAACAACGACUACGGGAUCUGUAUUGGUGGCCAGGGAUGGACUCUCAAACUGAAGCACUCAAAAAAUCCUGUGUCACUUGCCAAAUGCAUGAUAAGACAGCAGUGACAUGUACCCCUCCAUUACAGCCUGUUCCUCUUCCUGAAUCUGCAUGGGAAAAAGUGGCGAUUGACAUUGUAGGACCCUUUGACACUGCUCCACUUGACUGUCGUUAUGCCAUCACUUUAAUAGACUAUUUCAGCAAAUGGCCUGAGGUAGCGUUUACAUCGCAAAUUUCUUCUGCUACAGUAAUUAAGUUCCUCUCUUCAGUUUUUAGCUGGGAAGGUAACCCCAAAGAACUGGUUUCAGAUAAUGGUAGUCAAUUUACUUCCCUGGAGUUUGAAACUUUUCUAGCAGAGAGGAACAUUUUACACAGGAGGUCAUCCCU